Long non-coding RNA from Gadus morhua (Atlantic cod), 1598 nucleotides. The record is from Ensembl. NCBI's taxonomy places the organism in Eukaryota, Metazoa, Chordata, Actinopteri, Gadiformes, Gadidae.
CAACACUAACUUACAACUCAUACAAUAUAAAACUAUCCACAGAACACACAUCACUCAGAGUAAAAUGUUUAAAAUGGGUUAUCUGACACAGACACUUGCUCACAGUGCGCUUCGGGGAGCAUUGACACCUAUUUCCAUGCAACUUGGCUAUGUCAACCUGUUCACUCUCUCUGGACCACAGUAACUAACACACUAUCUUCGGUCCUGGACUGCAGAGUCCCACUGUCUCCAGCACUCUGUCUUCUAGGAGACACCUCAGAUUCCCCCUUCCCCUUAAAAUACAAAACCCCAGUCCUUGUCUCUCUAGCUAUCACCAAGAAAAUAGUCUUUCAAAACUGGAAAUCUAAAUCAUCUUGCCACUUCAACCAUUGGACCAACUUAAUCACAGAAUUCAUCCUGACAGAAGAAACUGCUGCACAUAAAAAGAACAAUAUCUCCGCCUUUAAAGAAAUCUGGAAUCCCCUCAUAACAUUUCUACAAAUUCAACAGUUAAGCGCCAUACACCUAACAGAGUGACCCUUUUGGAGAGGAUAAGGGAGAAGAUAGGGGACAGGAAGAUGUUGAAAACGGAUUGUCACACGCCAUCAGAAUCGCAUGGAUUUUCUAGAAAGUGCAACAAAAGUGGAGAAAAGGUGGUACGGAAGAUUGAAAUUGGGUGGCUUCACUAUUCAAAACCUCACUACACCCAGGUGAGAACGAGGCAUGGUGGUGGGACUAGACACACAACGGUUCCUAAAGAAACUACCGUGGAGCAGGUUCUAGAAACCGGAAAACAGCUGUUUUUCCCAAAUGGAUCGUCGACCAAGGGGCCACAACAUAUUUUUGAUUUUGAGGUGCGUGACUUCAAAAGGAAUUGCAUUCCGUUGGAAGAGACCGUGGGCAAGUUGUAUGAGUCAACAAAGUUGAAGCUUCUCCGUUUUUACAUCUGCUCAAAGGACAAAUUCUCUGUGGAGGACGAAAGUGACUCAUCGACUGAAGAUUUAGAAGAUCUAAGCACAGGGAAUCUGAAUGCCAUUGUUUCAGACCCUGCAACAUCUGACUCAUCCACCAACAUUCCCAGUGAUCGGCAAGAGGAGGCCGACUUCAUUAUUAAUGUUGAUGACACCGCUUCAGAGCAGUCUUCUGAUUUGGACAUUACAGACAUAGAAGACACGAGCCCGAGGAGAGUCAAAGAUUCCAAUGCAGUCUCAGAGUCAGACACAGUAGAGUGGUGUUCGGAUUAUGAGGCUGCUUCAGAGGAUGAGGUGACAGUCCAAAUAAGAUGUUCAAAUGUUUUACAGGUAAUUAAUGUUAAUAGUACCUAAUGAGAAAGGGGCAAAUUUCAGGGAAGCAUGUAACCAACAAUCUUAUAAAAUGUUGGGAGUGCUCAUUCUGAAUAGCUGUGAUUCUAAACUCCAGUUUGCGAUUUAAACUGCUAAUUAGCACGUUAGUAUAGAUGGUUCCUUUGAAUACCCUUUUUGACCACGAUGGCAUUAGAAUCACAGAAAGUCUAGUCCUGUAUGCAUUAGGCUUCACAUUUAGUAAGCAAUUGCAGGAUCACAUUCCCUCAUUUUUGAAGGAGGUUUUUUUUGAUCAUAUACAUCUCUGCACUCUUAACA